CCCCAGACUCCUACGGGAGGCAGCAGUGAGGAAUAUUGGUCAAUGGACGAGAGUCUGAACCAGCCAAGUAGCGUGAAGGAUGACUGCCCUAUGGGUUGUAAACUUCUUUUAUAUGGGAAUAAAAUGUUCCACGUGUGGGAUUUUGUAUGUACCAUAUGAAUAAGGAUCGGCUAACUCCGUGCCAGCAGCCGCGGUAAUACGGAGGAUCCGAGCGUUAUCCGGAUUUAUUGGGUUUAAAGGGUGCGCAGGCGGAUUUUUAAGUCAGCGGUAAAAUCGUGGGGCUCAACCCCAUCCAGCCGUUGAAACUGGGGAUCUAGAGUGUGCGAGAGGUAUGCGGAAUGCGUGGUGUAGCGGUGAAAUGCAUAGAUAUCACGCAGAACCCCGAUUGCGAAGGCAGCAUACCGGUGCACAACUGACGCUCAGGCACGAAAGCGUGGGUAUCGAACAGGAUUAGAUACCC
This 460-nucleotide ribosomal RNA is filed under the name uncultured bacterium. RNAcentral describes it as "bacterial SSU rRNA". It matches the Rfam family "Bacterial small subunit ribosomal RNA", at positions 329 to 787 of the family's 1533-position model. The record is from RNAcentral.